UACGUAGGGGGCAAGCGUUGUCCGGAAUCAUUGGGCGUAAAGAGCGUGUAGGCGGUUUGGUAGGUCCGCUGUGAAAACUCGAGGCUCAACCUCGAGACGCCGGUGGAAACCAUCAGACUAGAGUCCGGAAGAGGAGAGUGGAAUUCCGUGGUGUAGCGGUGAAAUGCGCAGAUAUCAGGAAGAACACCCGUGGCUAAGGCGGCUCUCUAGUACGGUACUGACGCUGAGACGCGGAAAGCGUGGGGAGCGAACAGG
Molecule: ribosomal RNA, 255 nt
Filed under: uncultured bacterium
Lineage: Bacteria
Description: partial 16S ribosomal RNA
Rfam family: Bacterial small subunit ribosomal RNA
Source: RNAcentral